Molecule: non-coding RNA, 930 nt
Organism: Callorhinus ursinus (northern fur seal)
Lineage: Eukaryota; Metazoa; Chordata; Mammalia; Carnivora; Otariidae
Source: RefSeq, a predicted model, not a curated record
AUGUGGACGCUUGGGCGCCGCGCGGCUGCCGGCCUCCUGCCCCGCUCGGUGCCCCCGGGCUCAGCCCCGGCAGGCGCCGGAGCCCAGGGCCAGACGAGGAACGCCCCGCUCUACAGCCGCCGGGGCCUCCGCGUCGGGACCGGAGCGACCCGCGUACCCGGCCACGCCAGUCUGAGCCUCCACCGCCUUGAUCAGAUCGUGAAUGUCAAAAAGCAGAGCGUCUGUUUGAUGAAUAUGAGGACAGUGGGAACUUUGGGCGACCCUGGCUUUCUGGAUGAGACGACCUAUGAAAGACUGGCGGAGAAGACACUGGACUCCUUAGCAGAGUUUUUCGAAGACCUUGCAGACAAACCUUACACAUUCGAAGACUAUGAUGUCUCGUUCGGGAGUGGUGUUUUAACAGUUAAACUGGGUGGAGAUCUAGGAACCUACGUGAUCAACAAGCAGACCCCAAACAAGCAGAUCUGGUUAUCUUCACCCUCCAGCGGGCCCAAGCGCUAUGACUGGACAGGGAAGAACUGGGUGUACACGCAUGACGGCAUGUCCCUCCACGAGCUGCUGGCCACGGAGCUGACUAAAGCCUUAAAAACCAAACUGGACUUAUCUUCUCUGGCCUAUUCCGGAAAAGGCGCUUGAUGCCCAGCCCAGUCCCAAAGACAUGAACAGCUCUAAAGCCCAGACCCCAGCUCCGUCCUGCAGCUGAGUGUCUGGUCUGUUCCAUUCCCGCUUUGGAGGACAGUUGCAUGGUGUGUAAGGAAGAGCUAUGUGAAAAAGCGUGUUGCCUCCCACCCUCCCCCAAGUUCGGAUUUGUAAUUUCUGUAGUGUUUUUGGAUUUAUUGUCUGAUUUCCUCCCUCACAGGAUAUCCCUUCUGUUUUAUAAUGUCCCUAUCCUUGUACAUUUAUAUAUAACCUUACAACAAAGAAAAAUAA